RNAcentral lists this long non-coding RNA (628 nucleotides) under Mytilus galloprovincialis (Mediterranean mussel). The record is from RNAcentral. Lineage: Eukaryota; Metazoa; Mollusca; Bivalvia; Mytilida; Mytilidae.
UCUUGGUCUCUUUUGAUAGAAAACCUUAGUUUGCUAUGUAUAAAGUUGUUAGUUUAUUCGUCAGGUGGUUUCAUUGCGGUUCAAUAUUACUUCAUCCUUAAUUUUGUCUAAAAUGGAUUUCUUUUGCUCUUGUUCUAGUUUUCAACGUCGUUCUUUUUGAUUUUUUUUUGCAAAUAUGGAGCAGGAUCUUCUAUACCUCACAUGUGGAGCAGGAUCUGCUUACCCUUCCGGAGCACCUGAGAUCAUCCCUAGUUAUUGGUGGGGUUCGUGUUGCUUAUUCUUUAGUUUUCUAUGUUGUUUCAUGUGCACUAAUGUUUGUAUAUUUGUCUUUUUCAUUUUUAGCCAUGAUAUUGUCAGUUUAUUUUCGAUUUAUGAGCUUGACUGUCCCUCUGGUAUCUUUCGUCUCUCUUUUUCUAAAUCAUUUGGUCUCUUGUGGAGAGAUGUCUCAUUGGCAAUCAUACCACGUCUUCUUUUUUAUUUAUUCGGCGUAGCUUAGACUUUCUUUUUGGUUGUUUUUCUUUUCUUGUCAUGCAAGGUGUUCGCAUUUCUGUAAUUCAGGCACGAUAUCAAAUAAGAAGAUGCUGAGGACUCCAAAUAACAUGGAUGAACGGACAAAGUAAAAGUACCG